This 993-nucleotide ribosomal RNA is filed under the name uncultured bacterium. RNAcentral describes it as "bacterial SSU rRNA". It matches the Rfam family "Bacterial small subunit ribosomal RNA", at positions 432 to 1444 of the family's 1533-position model. The record is from RNAcentral.
CUCUUAUCCAAGGAAAGAAGAUCCUGAACGGUACUUGAUGAAUAAGCCACGGCUAAUUCCGUUGCAGCAGCGCGGUAAUACGGGAGUGGCAGCGUUAUCCGGAAUAUUGGCGUAAAGCGUCCGCAGGCGGCCUUCAAGUCUGCUGUAAAAAGUGGAGCUUAACUCCAUCAUGGCAGUGGAAACUGUUGGGCUUGAGUGUGGUAGGGGCAGAGGGAAUUCCCGGUGUAGCGGUGAAAUGCGUAGAUAUCGGGAAGAACACCAGUGGCGAAGGCGCUCUGCUGGGCCAUCACUGACGCUCAUGGACGAAAGCCAGGGGAGCGAAAGGGAUUAGAUACCCCUGUAGUCCUGGCCGUAAACGAUGAACACUAGGUGUCGGGGGAAUCGACCCCCUCGGUGUCGUAGCCAACGCGUUAAGUGUUCCGCCUGGGGAGUACGCACGCAAGUGUGAAACUCAAAGGAAUUGACGGGGGCCCGCACAAGCGGCGGAGUAUGUGGUUUAAUUCGAUGCAACGCGAAGAACCUUACCAGGGUUUGACAUCCUGCGAAUCUCUUGGAAACAGGAGAGUGCCUUCGGGAACGCAGUGACAGGUGGUGCAUGGCUGUCGUCAGCUCGUGUCGUGAGAUGUUGGGUUAAGUCCCGCAACGAGCGCAACCUACGUCUUUAGUUGCCAGCAUUUAGUUGGGCACUCUAGAGAGACUGCCGGUGAUAAACCGGAGGAAGGUGUGGAUGACGUCAAGUCAUCAUGCCCCUUACAUCCUGGGCUACACACGUACUACAAUGCUACGGACAAAGGGCAGCAAGUUCGCGAGGACAAGCAAAUCCCAUAAACCGUGGCUCAGUUCAGAUCGUAGGCUGCAACUCGCCUACGUGAAGGCGGAAUCGCUAGUAAUCGCAGGUCAGCAUACUGCGGUGAAUACGUUCCCGGGCCUUGUACACACCGCCCGUCACACCAUGGAAGUUGGCCACGCCCGAAGCCGUUACUCCAACCCUUG